Molecule: ribosomal RNA, 417 nt
Filed under: uncultured bacterium
Lineage: Bacteria
Description: bacterial SSU rRNA
Rfam family: Bacterial small subunit ribosomal RNA
Source: RNAcentral
UGGGGAAUAUUGCACAAUGGGGGAAACCCUGAUGCAGCGACGCCGCGUGGAGGAAGAAGGCCCUCGGGUUGUAAACUCCUGUCUUUGGGGACGAUAAUGACGGUACCCAAGGAGGAAGCCACGGCUAACUACGUGCCAGCAGCCGCGGUAAAACGUAGGUGGCAAGCGUUGUCCGGAAUUACUGGGUGUAAAGGGAGCGCAGGCGGAGCGGCAAGUUGGAGGUGAAAACCCAUGGGGCUCAACCCAUGAAUUGCCUUCAAAACUGUCGGUCUUGAGUGGUGUAGAGGUAAGCGGAAUUCCCGGUGUAGCGGUGGAAUGCGUAGAUAUCGGGAGGAACACCAGUGGCGAAGGCGGCUUACUGGGCACUAACUGACGCUGAGGCUCGAAAGCAUGGGUAGCAAACAGGAUUAGAUACCC